AACGAACGCUGGCGGCAGGCCUAACACAUGCAAGUCGAGCGCCCCGCAAGGGGAGCGGCGGACGGGUGAGUAACACGUGGGAACGUACCCUUUGCUACGGAAUAGUCUCGGGAAACUGGGGGUAAUACCGUAUGUGCCCUUCGGGGGAAAGAUUUAUCGGCAAAGGAUCGGCCCGCGUUGGAUUAGGUAGUUGGUGGGGUAAUGGCCUACCAAGCCGACGAUCCAUAGCUGGUUUGAGAGGAUGAUCAGCCACACUGGGACUGAGACACGGCCCAGACUCCUACGGGAGGCAGCAGUGGGGAAUCUUAGACAAUGGGCGCAAGCCUGAUCUAGCCAUGCCGCGUGAGCGAUGAAGGCCUUAGGGUUGUAAAGCUCUUUCAGUGGGGAAGAUAAUGACUGUACCCACAGAAGAAGCCCCGGCUAACUCCGUGCCAGCAGCCGCGG
RNAcentral lists this ribosomal RNA (444 nucleotides) under uncultured bacterium. RNAcentral's name for it is "bacterial SSU rRNA". It matches the Rfam family "Bacterial small subunit ribosomal RNA", at positions 29 to 520 of the family's 1533-position model. The record is from RNAcentral.